Molecule: ribosomal RNA, 438 nt
Filed under: uncultured bacterium
Lineage: Bacteria
Description: bacterial SSU rRNA
Rfam family: Bacterial small subunit ribosomal RNA
Source: RNAcentral
GCUAAACGCGAAGAACCUUACCUACCCUUGACAUGUCUGGAAUCCCGAAGAGAUUUGGGAGUGCCGCAAGGAACCAUGAGACAGGUGCUGCAUGGCUGUCGUCAGCUCGUGUCGUGAGAUGUUGGGUUAAGUCCCGCAACGAGCGCAACCCUUGUCCUUAGUUGCCAUCAUUAAGUUGGGAACUCUAAGGAGACCGCCGGUGACAAACCGGAGGAAGGUGGGGAUGACGUCAAGUCAUCAUGGCCUUUAUGGCCAGGGCUACGCACGUGCUACAAUGGCAGGUACAGAGGGAGGCCAACCGGCGACGGGGAGCCAAUCCCAGAAAGCCUGUCUUAGUCCGGAUUGCAGUCUGCAACUCGACUGCAUGAAGUUGGAAUCGCUAGUAAUCGCAGAUCAGCAUUGCUGCGGUGAAUACGUUCCCGGGUCUUGUACACACCG